Molecule: ribosomal RNA, 539 nt
Filed under: uncultured archaeon
Lineage: Archaea
Description: bacterial SSU rRNA
Rfam family: Archaeal small subunit ribosomal RNA
Source: RNAcentral
CAGGCGCGAAAACUUUGCAAUGCGGGAAACCGUGACAAGGGAACUCUGAGUGCCCGUUAAAUCGGGCUGUCCAUCGGUUUAAACAACCGGUGAAGAAAGGGCCGGGCAAGACCGGUGCCAGCCGCCGCGGUAAUACCGGCGGCUCGAGUGGUGGCCACUAUUACUGGGCUUAAAGCGUUCGUAGCUGGUUUGUUAAGUCUCUGGGGAAAUCUUCCGGCUCAACCGGAAGGCGUCUCAGGGAUACUGGCAGACUAGGGACCGGGAGAGGUGAGAGGUACUCCAGGGGUAGGAGUGAAAUCCUGUAAUCCUUGGGGGACCACCUGUGGCGAAGGCGUCUCACCAGAACGGCUCCGACAGUGAGGGACGAAAGCUGGGGGAGCAAACCGGAUUAGAUACCCGGGUAGUCCCAGCUGUAAACGAUGCGCGUUAGGUGUAUCGGUGACCACGAGUCACCGAGGUGCCGAAGAGAAAUCGUGAAACGUGCCGCCUGGGAAGUACGGUCGCAAGGCUGAAACUUAAAGGAAUUGGCGGGGGAGCAC